Unclassified non-coding RNA from Pongo abelii (Sumatran orangutan), 148 nucleotides. It matches the Rfam family "Metazoan signal recognition particle RNA". From Rfam's summary of the family: The signal recognition particle (SRP) is a universally conserved ribonucleoprotein. It is involved in the co-translational targeting of proteins to membranes. The record is from Ensembl. NCBI's taxonomy places the organism in Eukaryota, Metazoa, Chordata, Mammalia, Primates, Hominidae.
GCUGGGUGUGGUGGCGUGUGCCUGUAAUCCCAGCUACUCAGGAGGCUGAGGCAGGAAAAUCGCUUGAACCAGGGAGUUGGAGGUUGCAGUGAGCUGAGAUCGCGCCACUGCACCUCCAGCCUGGCGACAAAGCAAGACUCUGUCUCAA